UUUUUCCAUGCAUAAUGUUUUUGGAAAUUGAUAGAUGAAGUGUAACAACAAAGAAAUGUUUUCAAUAGAUUUACAUAUCCAUUUGCUAUAUCUUUUACAUCUUUCUAUUAGGAUCAAACGACUUUAUGCUCUUCGUUUUUGAAAACUAUAUUACAUCAAUUGCGAAAAAAUAGAUUUUUACAAUAAAAUGCUUUCAUCCUAUCCAAAUGUGGAUCAAGGCUCUAUCUGUCUGUCUACAAAGUAUUAACAACAUAGCAGCAUUCUUGUGAAUUAUAAAGAUAAAGCAUACUAACUACUACAUAUAGAGGAAGUUUGAUUUAUAUGAGCGUGCUUCUAUACGAAUUUUUUGUUCCACGACGGAAACGACUUUUAAAUAAACUCAUGAGAAAUUCCAACGAAGCUUAAACAUUGCCUUUCAAGUGUCAAAAUAAUUAUUGCUUUCGUUCACUAAAAUCAUUAAAUCAUUUUACAAAAAAAAAAAAAAAAAAAUACGUAUUGCUUUUCGAGUAAGGAUAAAUAGUAUCAUAAUCAACUUUCAAACUUAUCAAUCACCCACGUUGGUAAUUGCUUCUCUGACUUGGGGCCAAGAACAGCGGUAUAGCUCUUUUUUGGAUUUACCAAAUAUUUUUUGGCAACGGCCUUCAAAUCAUUCGCUGAAACAUUUAGUAGCUGCUUUCGCCUAUUUUGAAGCAUUUCGUCUGUAACCCCAUCGACAAAGUAAAGCAUUCCUUUUUGGCUUUCACUAACCGGGCUAUCAAUUCCUUGAAAUACUGCUAGUUUGGCUUCAUCUAUAUCUCUCUGAGAAAACUCGUGAGUGGUUGCCCAUUCAGAUGCCUCGUCAAAAACUGAUAAAGAACGUAUUGGAUCGGAAUCCCGAUAAGUAAAGAAAGACAGUACACCAUCUAUACCACUGUAAGAAAGACCAGCCCCAUAUGCGCCUCCUUUCUCACGAAUUUCACCAUGCAGAUAUUUGUGUGUCAAAAGCGAUGAAAGAAUUUGAAGCGGUGCUCCAUCUGGAUGGGUAUAUGGAACGCCUAAACAAGACUUCGCAGCGAAAUAGGUUUGAAAAGGUAAUUCAUGAUAGGUUUUAAUAGAAUUAAUACCAUUUCGUUCCUUGGAAGUCGAUUUGGUCUGAGUUUGUUGAUUGACUCCCCGUGACUUCAUAAAUUUUUGUAACGCCUUUUCAACAACUUCAUGUUGUGUAGGGCUUGCGUUUAUAGCAGCUUUAAAACCAGAUGUGCCUCGUAAAAUUUCACGAAUAGCUGUAAGCUUUUCGACUAACGGACCAAAGCUUUCUUCUCUAGAUAACUGGCUUAACAGCUUUACUUGAGUAAGACCACCAAGUUGUUCAGUAAUACUUGUUUUCUCGGUGAGACCUGAUGCAGAUGAAACUUUGGCAAAUGAAUGUCCUUUUUCAGCAAUUCCAUCCGUAAUUCCACUAACCGACGUCUUCAACAUUAUUGCUAACUUGUCUGUGUUGGAUAAAUUAGUAUUCCAAAACGCUUUGUUAAUCAAUUCCACCAAUUUCCCAACAUUCUUGUCCAAGGCAUAACCAGAGAUAGCUAUUCCUAGUUCAUAUUUUGAGACAUCACUGUUGUUUGUCACUGCUGAUGGAGAAAUACUGAUACCACCAGUGUAUCUACGGAUUUGGUGUUCCAAAUCACCAAUGCUUUCAGAAUGAGUUCCUAAGUUUAAGCAGGCAUCGCAAUAUACGGGUAGAUAAGGUAUCAACGAUUCCGGGAAAUUUUUCAAGGGUAAAAGAAGUCUUAUAUAAGUCAAGCCAGCAGCCAAAUCGUACCACUGUGCUUUCAUACCAGCUAUAUCCAAAAAUUUAAGUUUAGUUUCAUCUAUAGUCUCGGGAAUAUCAGAGACACUCAGAGUUGGAAGGCAACUAGUAUCAGCAGGAGUUGAUUGAGCUUCCAACAAUUUAACACUAGUCUUCUCAAUUUCUGCUAUAUCCUCGUCCGUGAGUUUAGAGGUUCGUUCCUGCAGCUUCUUGGCUUCAGCUUCUUGUAAUCUUUGGGGAAACGUGGAGGAGGGAAGCAUUGUAAAAACGAACCUUGACUUAUUCUCAA
This 2075-nucleotide long non-coding RNA is filed under the name Schizosaccharomyces pombe (fission yeast). The record is from RNAcentral. Lineage: Eukaryota; Fungi; Ascomycota; Schizosaccharomycetes; Schizosaccharomycetales; Schizosaccharomycetaceae.